CCUACGGGCGGCAGCAGUGGGGAAUAUUGGGCAAUGGGCGCAAGCCUGACCCAGCAACGCCGCGUGAAGGCAGAAGGCUUUCGGGUUGUAAACUUCUUUUCUCAGGGACGAAGAAAGUGACGGUACCUCAGGAAUAAGCCACGGCUAACUACGUGCCAGCAGCCGCGGUAAUACGUAGGUGGCAAGCGUUAUCCGGAUUUAUUGGGUGUAAAGGGCGUGUAGGCGGGAGCGCAAGUCAGAUGUGAAAACUCAGGGCUCAACCCUGAGCCUGCAUUUGAAACUGUGUGUCUUGAGUGCUGGAGAGGCAAUCGGAAUUCCGGGUGUAGCGGUGAAAUGCGUAGAUAUACGGAGGAACACCAGUGGCGAAGGCGGAUUGCUGGACAGUAACUGACGCUGAGGCGCGAAAGCGUGGGGAGCAAACAGGAUUAGAUACCCCAGUAGUC
Molecule: ribosomal RNA, 443 nt
Filed under: uncultured bacterium
Lineage: Bacteria
Description: partial 16S ribosomal RNA
Rfam family: Bacterial small subunit ribosomal RNA
Source: RNAcentral